Molecule: ribosomal RNA, 246 nt
Filed under: uncultured bacterium
Lineage: Bacteria
Description: partial 16S ribosomal RNA
Rfam family: Bacterial small subunit ribosomal RNA
Source: RNAcentral
UACUGAGCGGCGGACGGGAAGGUAACGCGUGGGUAACCGUGCCUCAUACAGGGGGAUAACAGUUGGAAACGGCUGCUAAUACCGCAUAAGCGCACAGUACCGCAUGGUACGGUGUGAAAAACUCCGGUGGUAUGAGAUGGACCCGCGUCUGAUUAGGUAGUUGGUGGGGUAACGGCCUACCAAGCCGACGAUCAGUAGCCGACCUGAGAGGGUGACCGGCCACAUUGGGACUGAGACACGGCCCAA